UUUGAGGUGGACGAGGAGGGUGAGGGCAUUGUCGACGCGCCGAAAGGAAGAGCGGGCAAUUACAGCACCAACGAUGACAAGUUACUAUGCUAUACUUAUUUGCAAGUGUCGAGGGAUCCAUCCAUUGGAGGUGAUCAAAGUACAGACGCGUAUUGGGGGCGAAUGAAAGAACACUUUGAUGCUCACAACCUGAGUGGAAUUGACCGCUCCGAGAGAUCACUUCGGUCCCGAUGGUCGACAAUCAACUCGGAUUGUCAAAAGUGGGCGGCCGCACAAAAGGCAGUUGACAAGAUUAACCCAAGUGGCACAAAUGAGGAUGAUCGAGUAAGUGGCAUCUCAUAUAUGUUCAUCAUACUUGUUUUUGGUGACCAAAGUGCUAACUUGUUUUGUUUUUCUUGUAGUACAACAUUGCACAAAACUUGUUCAAAGAAGAGACGAGGACAACCAAGAAGGGGAAGAUCAAGAAAGGCAGGAUCUUUA
Molecule: ribosomal RNA, 480 nt
Filed under: Triticum aestivum (bread wheat)
Lineage: Eukaryota; Viridiplantae; Streptophyta; Magnoliopsida; Poales; Poaceae
Description: partial small subunit ribosomal RNA
Source: RNAcentral